AUACGUAGGGGGCGAGCGUUGUCCGGAAUGAUUGGGCGUAAAGGGCGCGUAGGCGGCCUGUUAAGUCUGGAGUGAAAGUCCUGUUUUCAAGAUGGGAAUUGCUUUGGAUACUGAUGGGCUUGAGUGCAGGAGAGGUUAUCGGAAUUCCCGGUGUAGCGGUGAAAUGCGUAGAGAUCGGGAGGAACACCAGUGGCGAAGGCGGGUAACUGGACUGCAAAUGACGCUGAGGCGCGAAAGUGUGGGGAGCAAACAGGAUUAGAUACCCUGGUAGUCCACACUGUAAACGAUGAAUACUAGGUGUAAGAGGUAUCGACCCCUUUUGUGCCGGAGUUAACACAAUAAGCAUUCCGCCUGGGGAGUACGGCCGCAAGGUUGAAACUCAAAUGAAUUGGCGGGG
Molecule: ribosomal RNA, 397 nt
Filed under: uncultured bacterium
Lineage: Bacteria
Description: partial 16S ribosomal RNA
Rfam family: Bacterial small subunit ribosomal RNA
Source: RNAcentral